CCUACGGGAGGCAGCAGUGGGGAAUAUUGCACAAUGGGUGGAAGCCUGAUGCAGCAACGCCGUGUGCGGGAUGACGGCCUUCGGGUUGUAAACCGCUUUCGCUCAUGACGAAGCUUUGUGUGACGGUAGUGGGUAAAGAAGCACCGGCUAACUACGUGCCAGCAGCCGCGGUGAUACGUAGGGUGCGAGCGUUGUCCGGAUUUAUUGGGCGUAAAGGGCUCGUAGGUGGUUGAUCGCGUCGGAAGUGUAAUCUUGGGGCUUAACCCUGAGCGUGCUUUUGAUACGGGUUGACUUGAGGAAGGUAGGGGAGAAUGGAAUUCCUGGUGGAGCGGUGGAAUGCGCAGAUAUCAGGAGGAACACCGGUGGCGAAGGCGGUUCUCUGGGCCUUUCCUGACGCUGAGGAGCGAAAGCGUGGGGAGCGAACAGGCUUAGAUACCCUGGUAGUCCACGCUGUAAACGGUGGGUACUAGGUGUGGGGUCCAUUCCACGGGUUCCGUGCCGUAGCUAACGCUUUAAGUACCCCGCCUGGGGAGUACGGCCGCAAGGCUAAAACUCAAAGGAAU
RNAcentral lists this ribosomal RNA (563 nucleotides) under uncultured Propionibacterium sp. RNAcentral's name for it is "bacterial SSU rRNA". It matches the Rfam family "Bacterial small subunit ribosomal RNA", at positions 338 to 910 of the family's 1533-position model. The record is from RNAcentral. Lineage: Bacteria; Bacillati; Actinomycetota; Actinomycetes; Propionibacteriales; Propionibacteriaceae.